CCUACGGGGGGCAGCAGUGAGGAAUAUUGGUCAAUGGACGAGAGUCUGAACCAGCCAAGUAGCGUGAAGGAUGACUGCCCUAUGGGUUGUAAACUUCUUUUAUAUGGGAAUAAAAUGUUCCACGUGUGGGAUUUUGUAUGUACCAUAUGAAUAAGGAUCGGCUAACUCCGUGCCAGCAGCCGCGGUAAUACGUAGGAUCCGAGCGUUAUCCGGAUUUAUUGGGUUUAAAGGGAGCGUAGGUGGAUUGUUAAGUCAGUUGUGAAAGUUUGCGGCUCAACCGUAAAAUUGCAGUUGAAACUGGCAGUCUUGAGUACAGUAGAGGUGAGCGGAAUUCGUGGUGUAGCGGUGAAAUGCUUAGAUAUCACGAAGAACUCCGAUUGCGAAGGCAGUUCACUGGACUGCAACUGACACUGAGGCUCGAAAGUGUGGGUAUCAAACAGGAUUAGAUACCCUUGUAGUC
Molecule: ribosomal RNA, 460 nt
Filed under: uncultured bacterium
Lineage: Bacteria
Description: partial 16S ribosomal RNA
Rfam family: Bacterial small subunit ribosomal RNA
Source: RNAcentral